AUUGAACGCUGGCGGCAUGCCUUACACAUGCAAGUCGAACGGCAGCACGGGUGCUUGCCCCUGGUGGCGAGUGGCGAACGGGUGAGUAAUACAUCGGAACAUGUCCUGUAGUGGGGGAUAGCCCGGCGAAAGCCGGAUUAAUACCGCAUACGAUCCACGGAUGAAAGCGGGGGACCUUCGGGCCUCGCGCUAUAGGGUUGGCCGAUGGCUGAUUAGCUAGUUGGUGGGGUAAAGGCCUACCAAGGCGACGAUCAGUAGCUGGUCUGAGAGGACGACCCGCCACACUGGGACUGAGACACGGCCCAGACUCCUACGGGAGGCAGCAGUGGGGAAUUUUGGACAAUGGGCGAAAGCCUGAUCCAGCAAUGCCGCGUGUGUGAAGAAGGCCUUCGGGUUGUAAAGCACUUUUGUCCGGAAAGAAAUCCUUGACUCUAAUACAGUCGGGGGAUGACGGUACCGGAAGAAUAAGCACCGGCUAACUACGUG
RNAcentral lists this ribosomal RNA (486 nucleotides) under uncultured bacterium. RNAcentral's name for it is "partial 16S ribosomal RNA". It matches the Rfam family "Bacterial small subunit ribosomal RNA", at positions 30 to 507 of the family's 1533-position model. The record is from RNAcentral.